GACGAACGCUGGCGGCGUGCUUAACACAUGCAAGUCGAACGGUGAACCUCUUCGGAGGGGAUCAGUGGCGAACGGGUGAGUAACACGUGGGCAACCUGCCCCCGGCUCUGGGAUAACUCCAAGAAAUUGGGGCUAAUACCGGAUGUUCACCGCUUCCCGCAUGGGUGGUGGUGGAAAGGGUUUCCGGCUGGGGAUGGGCCCGCGGCCCAUCAGCUUGUUGGUGGGGUAGUGGCCUACCAAGGCGACGACGGGUAGCCGGCCUGAGAGGGUGACCGGCCACACUGGGACUGAGACACGGCCCAGACUCCUACGGGAGGCAGCAGUGGGGAAUAUUGCGCAAUGGGCGGAAGCCUGACGCAGCGACGCCGCGUGGGGGAUGACGGCCUUCGGGUUGUAAACCUCUUUCAGCAGGGACGAAGCGCAAGUGACGGUACCUGCAGAAGAAGCACCGGCCAACUACGUG
RNAcentral lists this ribosomal RNA (463 nucleotides) under uncultured bacterium. RNAcentral describes it as "partial 16S ribosomal RNA". It matches the Rfam family "Bacterial small subunit ribosomal RNA", at positions 28 to 507 of the family's 1533-position model. The record is from RNAcentral.